GAAUGUAAUCAUUACAAUGUCAUAAGGUUCUUGGAAGGAAUAAAUAGGCUCACAGAUUUGGUGCAUGAUUAGAUAGUCGAAUGUUACUUCUCUUCUUCCCGUUAAACACUGAGUAAGAUGCUACUCCUUAGAAAUAUUUCUUAUAGAAUUAAUUUGCUUUGCAGAAACGUGAUUUUUGAGGACCUCCCAACAAAGAAAGUUCAGGGAAUGUAAAAUUGAAACUUGAAUCCACACAGAACUGUCAUAUGACAUCUGGACAGAUUUGAGUUGAUAAUUUUUUCAGUCAACUCCCAGAAAAAAUGGUCCCUAAGCAUCUGCUGCAUCCGGGCCUCCAGGGCCUAUUAGCUUGAUGUCAUCAAUAUAAUGGGCCAGCAUCAUGUCCUAUGGAACAAGGAGAUAGUCAAGCACGGACUAAAUUGUGGCACAGAGGCAGAGUUGAUGUAAUCCCAAGGCAAGACAGCCAAGGUGGACAGCUAUGCUUGCCAGGUAAAAGCAAAUUGCAGCUAAUGCUUUCUCCUUAUUUGAAUGCAUAAAAACAGUUAUCGCACCCAUAGUUGCACACCAGAUGUUAGGAACUAUGCUUUGCUCUAGUAAAGACAGCACAUCCAGAACAGUAGAUACAGUUUGAAUCACUACCUAAUUAAAUCUGUAAGAAUACUAUAUAUUUCUUUGAGUUUAUCUGACAACUGCAGAGAUAAAACAGGUAUGUUAGAAAGGGAUAUGAAAGAAACACUACCAAAUAACCAUAACCAUAAUCAAAUCUUUUUGAUUACAUAUGCAUUUCUGAGAAUCUUCCAGGAAUGUAUCAUUGCUUCUGGCUAACUCUCAUGGUAGGCAGGAGAAGGUCUAGAGUGAGGCUAUCCAGUCCUGUAGCCACUGGCCACAUGUGGUUACUGAGUACCUGUAGUCCGUAAUAAGUUGUUCUGUAAGUGUAGCAUAGGACAAAAAUAAGUUUACUAAUAUGUUGUAUGUUGAUUUAGUGUUGAAAUGAUACUAUGGUGGAUAUAGUGAGUUAAAUUAGAUAUACUACCAAAAUUAAUUUUACCUGUUUCAUUUUACCUUUUUAAAAUAUGGCCACUAGAAAAUUUAAAAUUAAAUGUGUGCUCACAUUAUGUUUCUAUUGGACAAUACUCCUUGAAGGCUUAAUUUGCUUUUUUUACCAUAAUAGUCCUCAUAACGGGGGUCAGGAAGCAGACUUGGAAAUUAUACCAAUUGCUAAAUUUAUUUAUUCCAGCUACACUCAACCACACGAUAGGUUCGAGGGGCAGAAA
Molecule: long non-coding RNA, 1271 nt
Organism: Panthera uncia (snow leopard)
Lineage: Eukaryota; Metazoa; Chordata; Mammalia; Carnivora; Felidae
Exons: 2
Source: RefSeq, a predicted model, not a curated record